UGCCAGCCGCCGCGGUAAUACGAAAGGUGCAAGCGUUGUUCGGAUUUACUGGGCGUAAAGAGAUCGUAGGUGGUUUAUUAAGUCGAGGGUGAAAUCCCAGGGCUCAACCCUGGAACUGCCUUCGAUACUGGUAGUCUUGAGGUCGAGAGAGGUGAGUGGAAUUCCGAGUGUAGAGGUGAAAUUCGUAGAUAUUCGGAGGAACACCAGUGGCGAAGGCGGCUCACUGGCUCGAUACUGACGCUGAGGUGCGAAAGUGUGGGGAGCAAACAGGAUUAGAUA
Molecule: ribosomal RNA, 279 nt
Filed under: uncultured bacterium
Lineage: Bacteria
Description: partial 16S ribosomal RNA
Rfam family: Bacterial small subunit ribosomal RNA
Source: RNAcentral